AAGACCUUGCGCUUUUGGAGCGGCCGAUGCCUGAUUAGCUUGUUGGUAAGGUAAAAGCUUACCAAGGCUUCGAUCAGUAGCUGGUCUGAGAGGACGACCAGCCACACUGGGACUGAGACACGGCCCAGACUCCUACGGGAGGCAGCAGUGGGGAAUUUUGGACAAUGGGGGCAACCCUGAUCCAGCCAUGCCGCGUGAGUGAAGAAGGCCUUCGGGUUGUAAAGCUCUUUCAGCCGGAACGAAACGGUUACGGAUAACACCCGUGACUACUGACGGURCCGGAAGAAGAAGCACCGGCUAACUACGUGCCAGCAGCCGCGGUAAUACGUAGGGUGCGAGCGUUAAUCGGAAUUACUGGGCGUAAAGCGUGCGCAGGUGGUUUUGUAAGUCAGAUGUGAAAGCCCCGGGCUCAACCUGGGAACU
This 423-nucleotide ribosomal RNA is filed under the name uncultured bacterium. RNAcentral describes it as "bacterial SSU rRNA". It matches the Rfam family "Bacterial small subunit ribosomal RNA", at positions 207 to 622 of the family's 1533-position model. The record is from RNAcentral.